UACGGAGGAUGCGAGCGUUAUCCGGAAUUAUUGGGUUUAAAGGGUGCGUAGGUUGCAAGGGAAGUCAGGGGUGAAAAGCUAUAGCUCAACUAUGGUCUUGCCUUUGAAACUCUCUAGCUAGAGUGUACUGGAGGUACGUGGAACGUGUGGUGUAGCGGUGAAAUGCAUAGAUAUCACACAGAACUCCGAUUGCGCAGGCAGCGUACUACAUUACAACUGACACUGAAGCACGAAAGCGUGGGUAUCAAACAGG
RNAcentral lists this ribosomal RNA (253 nucleotides) under Porphyromonas asaccharolytica DSM 20707. RNAcentral describes it as "partial 16S ribosomal RNA". It matches the Rfam family "Bacterial small subunit ribosomal RNA", at positions 524 to 776 of the family's 1533-position model. RNAcentral also lists the same sequence under 2 other names. Lineage: Bacteria; Pseudomonadati; Bacteroidota; Bacteroidia; Bacteroidales; Porphyromonadaceae. The record is from RNAcentral.